This 460-nucleotide ribosomal RNA is filed under the name uncultured bacterium. RNAcentral's name for it is "partial 16S ribosomal RNA". It matches the Rfam family "Bacterial small subunit ribosomal RNA", at positions 338 to 795 of the family's 1533-position model. The record is from RNAcentral.
CCUACGGGUGGCAGCAGUGGGGAAUAUUGCACAAUGGACGAGAGUCUGAACCAGCCAAGUAGCGUGAAGGAUGACUGCCCUAUGGGUUGUAAACUUCUUUUAUAUGGGAAUAAAAUGUUCCACGUGUGGGUUUUUGUAUGUACCAUAUGAAUAAGGAUCGGCUAACUCCGUGCCAGCAGCCGCGGUAAUACGGAGGAUCCGAGCGUUAUCCGGAUUUAUUGGGUUUAAAGGGAGCGUAGGUGGAUUGUUAAGUCAGUUGUGAAAGUUUGCGGCUCAACCGUAAAAUUGCAGUUGAAACUGGCAGUCUUGAGUACAGUAGAGGUGGGCGGAAUUCGUGGUGUAGCGGUGAAAUGCUUAGAUAUCACGAAGAACUCCGAUUGCGAAGGCAGCUCACUGGACUGCAACUGACACUGAGGCUCGAAAGUGUGGGUAUCAAACAGGAUUAGAUACCCCUGUAGUC